Molecule: long non-coding RNA, 1700 nt
Organism: Oncorhynchus gorbuscha (pink salmon)
Lineage: Eukaryota; Metazoa; Chordata; Actinopteri; Salmoniformes; Salmonidae
Exons: 3
Source: RefSeq, a predicted model, not a curated record
GCCACGCAGUCGUGGGUGAACAGGGAGUACAGGAGAGGCCUGAGCACGCAGGCUCGUGUGUGCUCCAUUUGAUUUCUAUUUCUCAGGUGAGGGUGCAGUUUAAGUAACGGUGUGAUGUCUAUACAAAAACAAAGCAGGCUAUUUUAAGCCACCCAUAUUGAAAAAAAUUAGAACAAUUAGACACCGAAUAGGCAAGAGGGCCAACCAGGGAGAAUAGUAAGACACUUAAUUAUUUCUAUAACUAUGCUAUAUUGUUUGUCGUCGUGUGUCUGUGCAUGUUUUUCAGUAUAAAGUACUCUGCAGCCACUUAGUGUGGACACCAGGUUAUAUCAGCUGUGUCGGUGAACCCCUCCCGCAUCUGAACUGUCUACAUAGAGGGCACAGCAUCAAAGGUAUGUUUUGAUGUGAGAGAGGAUACCAACCCCCAGUCCCGUCAUUGCCACCUCACCCGCUCUUAAGAUAAACUUCGGGCCGACUGGGAGCCCAGGACUGGUUAGGAGACACCACUAGAGACACUAUUAUGUAAUUGUGAUGAACUGAGAUAAUAUUAGGUCUCACUGUGAUUCAUUAAUCAUAAGCUGCCUUCCCUGCUCUUCUUACCUCUUUCCCUUUGUCUUUUACACCUCCCUCGCCACCUUUCUUCCUGUUUUUAUAAUGUGCAUUGGAGUACAGAUUGAACUUGUAUUUAUAAUAUUACAAUUAUAAUAUUUAUAUAUUUAUAUUUUGCUACAUAUGACCAAAUCAAGGUGGUCGGUUACAUAUAAACAACAACCUAAAUGUAGGCUAAUAUUUCUGGGGGGGCAAGGAGGAGACUCGGUUUCUUGCCACCAGGGCCCUUUCCCCCAAGCGUUUCCAUGGCAAUUCCAUUGUUUUGGUCGCGUUUGAUUUUAUGUUUAACGGCUGACUAGUAUAUUCGUCGUUUACAGUUUACACUUGGCUAAGAACUAGCCUACUAUUAAAUACAUAAUCUUUUUUUUUUUUAUAGGUUCCCAUUUCAUGAAAAGCCCAGGCUGCAGCAGUAGGUAGAAAAUGUCAGGUAGAUUAAUUGUAAACCAACACAACACUCUCGUCCCUGUGCCCAUCACUUUGAAUAUGAGUGUUUUCAGCAUGAUGACAAGGGAAAUGUCCACCUCACCCCGACUGCGGUGCCCAUCAUUUUCUCCUUCCCUGAUCGUCAUCAAAAGUGGACACAAUGCCCCAGGGAAAGAUGAAGAAAUACGGUAGAUACAGAGGUAAGUGACAAUGUUGAUCAUGCGAAAGCAUCUGCUGCCAUUGAUCACACUUACUAUGUAAGUUACGUCGAUGAGGCUGGGGGUGCUUACUGCUUAGUCCUCUUGUCCCAGGUGGGACAUAAGGCUGCAACAAUCGUUAGCCACUGGAGUCUGUCUUUGGCCACAGUUUGUAUCCUGUCCCAUGAAAGACCCAUCUCUUCCAGCUCAGCCACCACUGUCUGUCGCCAUGUUGUUUUUGGCCUGCCUCUUGCUCUUUUCAGUUGGUGUCCAACUUUGGGGAUCCUUUCUGGCGGCUUCUUCAGCACAUGACCAAGCCAACGCAACCUGCAUAUCUUCAUUUCCAGGACAAUGUUCUUACAGCACUUCCUCCCAUAGUCACGACUUCCGGCUCCUCUCCCUGUUCGGGUGGCGCUCGGUGGUCGUGGUCACCGGUCUACUAGCUGCCACCAAUCCCUUUUUAUUUUCUGU